AGCGAAUAGAUACCCCGGUAGUCCACGCCGUAAACGAUGAGCACUAGUUAUUGGGGGUAUUGACUCCCCCGGUGACGUAGCUAAACGCAUUAAGUGCUCCGCCUGGGAAGUACGGCCGCAAGGCUAAAACUCAAACAAAUUGACGGGGGCCCGGCACAAGCGGUGGAUUAUGUGGUUUAAUUCGAAAGCAACGCGCAGAACCUUACCUAGGCUUGAACUCCUACGAACCCGACGUAACGGUUGGGGUGUCCGCAAGGAAAUGUAGUGAGAGGUGCUGCAUGGCUGUCGUCAGCUCGUGUUGUGAAAUGUUGGGUUAAGUCUCGCAACGAGCGCAACCCCUAUCGCCUGUUGCCAGCAUUAAGUUGGGCACUCUGACGAGACUGCCUGGGGUUAACCAGGAGGAAGGUGGGGAUGACGUCAAGUCCUCAUGGCCCUUAUGUCUAGGGCUACACACGUAAUACAAUGGCACGUACAGAGGGAAGCGAACCUGUAAGGGGAAGCAAAUCUCAAAAAACCGUGCCUCAGUUCGGAUUGAAGUCUGCAACUCGACUUC
RNAcentral lists this ribosomal RNA (553 nucleotides) under uncultured bacterium. Its description in RNAcentral is "bacterial SSU rRNA". It matches the Rfam family "Bacterial small subunit ribosomal RNA", at positions 773 to 1319 of the family's 1533-position model. The record is from RNAcentral.